UGAGCGGCAAAGCUCAAUUUGAAUCUGGCGUCUUCGCACGUCCGAGAUUGUAAUUUGAAGAAGGCGACUUUGUAGCUGGUCCUUGUCUAUGUUCCUUGGAACAGGACGUCAUAGAGGGUGAGAAUCCCGUGUGGCGAGGAUCCCAGUUAUUUGUAAAGUGCUUUCGACGAGUCGAGUUGUUUGGGA
This 186-nucleotide ribosomal RNA is filed under the name uncultured Kluyveromyces. RNAcentral describes it as "partial 26S ribosomal RNA". It matches the Rfam family "Eukaryotic large subunit ribosomal RNA", at positions 104 to 279 of the family's 3401-position model. Lineage: Eukaryota; Fungi; Ascomycota; Saccharomycetes; Saccharomycetales; Saccharomycetaceae. The record is from RNAcentral.